UACGUAGGGUGCGAGCGUUGUCCGGAAUUAUUGGGCGUAAAGAGCUCGUAGGCGGCUUGUCGCGUCGGAUGUGAAAGCCCGGGGCUCAACUCCGGAAUUGCCUUUAAGACUGCAUCGCUAGAAUUGUGGAGAGGUAAGUGGAAUUCCGAGUGUAGAGGUGAAAUUCGUAGAUAUUCGGAAGAACACCAGUGGCGAAGGCGACUUACUGGACACAUAUUGACGCUGAGGUGCGAAAGCGUGGGGAGCAAACAGG
Molecule: ribosomal RNA, 253 nt
Filed under: uncultured bacterium
Lineage: Bacteria
Description: partial 16S ribosomal RNA
Rfam family: Bacterial small subunit ribosomal RNA
Source: RNAcentral